This 476-nucleotide ribosomal RNA is filed under the name uncultured bacterium. RNAcentral describes it as "bacterial SSU rRNA". It matches the Rfam family "Bacterial small subunit ribosomal RNA", at positions 28 to 507 of the family's 1533-position model. The record is from RNAcentral.
GACGAACGCUGGCGGCGUGCCUAAUACAUGCAAGUCGAGCGGGGAUUAUGCUUGAUCGCUUCGGUGAGACGGCAUAUAUCCUAGCGGCGGACGGGUGAGUAACGCGUGGGUAAUCUACCUCGUAGUUCGGGAUAACAGGCCGAAAGGCUUGCUAAUACCGGAUGAGUUCAUGCUUAUGCAUAUAGGCAUGAAGAAAGGGCUAGCCCGCUAUGAGAUGAGCCCGCGUCCCAUUAGCUUGUUGGUGGGGUAAUGGCCUACCAAGGCAACGAUGGGUAGCCGGCCUGAGAGGGUGUACGGCCACACUGGGACUGAGACACGGCCCAGACUCCUACGGGGGGCAGCAGUAGGGAAUUUUCGGCAAUGGGCGAAAGCCUGACCGAGCGACGCCGCGUGAGGGGCGAAGGCCUUCGGGUUGUAACCUCUGUCUGGGGGAUGAGAACGGACGGUACCCCGGAGGAAGCCCGGCUAACUACGUG